This 428-nucleotide ribosomal RNA is filed under the name uncultured prokaryote. RNAcentral describes it as "bacterial SSU rRNA". It matches the Rfam family "Bacterial small subunit ribosomal RNA", at positions 355 to 774 of the family's 1533-position model. The record is from RNAcentral.
UGGGGAAUAUUGCACAAUGGGGGGAACCCUGAUCCAGCCAUGCCGCGUGUGUGAAGAAGGCCUUAUGGUUGUAAAGCACUUUAAGCGAGGAGGAGGCUCUCUUGGUUAAUACCCAAGAUGAGUGGACGUUACUAGCAGAAUAAGCACCGGCUAACUCUGUGCCAGCAGCCGCGGUAAUACAGAGGGUGCGAGCGUUAAUCGGAUUUACUGGGCGUAAAGCGUGCGUAGGCGGCUUUUUAAGUCGGAUGUGAAAUCCCCGAGCUUAACUUGGGAAUUGCAUUCGAUACUGGGAAGCUAGAGUAUGGGAGAGGAUGGUAGAAUUCCAGGUGUAGCGGUGAAAUGCGUAGAGAUCUGGAGGAAUACCGAUGGCGAAGGCAGCCAUCUGGCCUAAUACUGACGCUGAGGUACGAGAGCAUGGGGAGCAAACA